AAGAUUUUCUUUUUCUUUUUUUUUAUUCCAGAAAGAAAUGUUUGUUAUCUAGUGCUGAUUUGUUACUUAUGAUUGGGUUACUUAUGAUUGGGUUCUGUCCACAUAUUUGUUAUUACAUCCAAAAGCCUUGUAGUAAUUCAAUGACAUGUUUUUAGUUCUGAUCAUGGCAUUUUUGGCUCACUGUCUAAAUUUUGAUUCACUGUUAUUUGCGGUAUU
RNAcentral lists this long non-coding RNA (216 nucleotides) under Vigna radiata. RNAcentral describes it as "long non-coding RNA (VRAD_LNC011552)". The record is from RNAcentral. Lineage: Eukaryota; Viridiplantae; Streptophyta; Magnoliopsida; Fabales; Fabaceae.